AGCGUAGGCGGACAUUUAAGUCAGAGGUGAAAUCCCGGAGCUUAACUUCGGAACUGCCUUUGAUACUGGUUGUCCUGAGUGUGAGAGAGGUAUGUGGAACUCCGAGUGUAGAGGUGAAAUUCGUAGAUAUUCGGAAGAACACCAGUGGCGAAGGCGACAUACUGGCUCAUUACUGACGCUGAGGCUCGAAAGCGUGGGGAGCAAACA
This 207-nucleotide ribosomal RNA is filed under the name uncultured bacterium. RNAcentral describes it as "partial 16S ribosomal RNA". It matches the Rfam family "Bacterial small subunit ribosomal RNA", at positions 568 to 774 of the family's 1533-position model. The record is from RNAcentral.